This 1432-nucleotide ribosomal RNA is filed under the name uncultured organism. RNAcentral describes it as "partial small subunit ribosomal RNA". It matches the Rfam family "Bacterial small subunit ribosomal RNA". The record is from RNAcentral.
UCUUGACGAACGCUGGCGGCGUGCUUAACACAUGCAAGUCGAACGGAAAGGCCCUGCUUUUGUGGGGUGCUCGAGUGGCGAACGGGUGAGUAACACGUGAGUAACCUGCCCUUGACUUUGGGAUAACUUCAGGAAACUGGGGCUAAUACCGGAUAGGAGCUCCUGCUGCAUGGUGGGGGUUGGAAAGUUUCGGCGGUUGGGGAUGGACUCGCGGCUUAUCAGCUUGUUGGUGGGGUAGUGGCUUACCAAGGCUUUGACGGGUAGCCGGCCUGAGAGGGUGACCGGCCACAUUGGGACUGAGAUACGGCCCAGACUCCUACGGGAGGCAGCAGUGGGGAAUAUUGCACAAUGGGCGGAAGCCUGAUGCAGCAACGCCGCGUGCGGGAUGACGGCCUUCGGGUUGUAAACCGCUUUCGCCUGUGACGAAGCGUGAGUGACGGUAAUGGGUAAAGAAGCACCGGCUAACUACGUGCCAGCAGCCGCGGUGAUACGUAGGGUGCGAGCGUUGUCCGGAUUUAUUGGGCGUAAAGGGCUCGUAGGUGGUUGAUCGCGUCGGAAGUGUAAUCUUGGGGCUUAACCCUGAGCGUGCUUUCGAUACGGGUUGACUUGAGGAAGGUAGGGGAGAAUGGAAUUCCUGGUGGAGCGGUGGAAUGCGCAGAUAUCAGGAGGAACACCAGUGGCGAAGGCGGUUCUCUGGGCCUUUCCUGACGCUGAGGAGCGAAAGCGUGGGGAGCGAACAGGCUUAGAUACCCUGGUAGUCCACGCUGUAAACGGUGGGUACUAGGUGUGGGGUCCAUUCCACGGGUUCCGUGCCGUAGCUAACGCUUUAAGUACCCCGCCUGGGGAGUACGGCCGCAAGGCUAAAACUCAAAGGAAUUGACGGGGCCCCGCACAAGCGGCGGAGCAUGCGGAUUAAUUCGAUGCAACGCGUAGAACCUUACCUGGGUUUGACAUGGAUCGGGAGUGCUCAGAGAUGGGUGUGCCUCUUUUGGGGUCGGUUCACAGGUGGUGCAUGCCUGUCGUCAGCUCGUGUCGUGAGAUGUUGGGUUAAGUCCCGCAACGAGCGCAACCCUUGUUCACUGUUGCCAGCACGUUAUGGUGGGGACUCAGUGGAGACCGCCGGGGUCAACUCGGAGGAAGGUGGGGAUGACGUCAAGUCCUCAUGCCCCUUAUGUCCAGGGCUUCACGCAUGCUACAAUGGCUGGUACAGAGAGUGGCGAGCCUGUGAGGGUGAGCGAAUCUCGGAAAGCCGGUCUCAGUUCGGAUUGGGGUCUGCAACUCGACCUCAUGAAGUCGGAGUCGCUAGUAAUCGCAGAUCAGCAACGCUGCGGUGAAUACGUUCCCGGGGCUUGUACACACCGCCCGUCAAGUCAUGAAAGUUGGUAACACCCGAAGCCGGAGGCCUAACCGUUGUGGGGGAGCCGUCGAAGGU